CAGUAGCCACGGGAAUACGAAGGGGGCUAGCGUUGUUCGGAUUUACUGGGCGUAAAGGGCGCGUAGGCGGACUGAUAAGUCAGGGGUGAAAUCCCAAGGCUCAACCUUGGAACUGCCUUUGAUACUGUUUGUCUUGAGUUCGAGAGAGGUAAGUGGAACUGCGAGUGUUGAGGUGAAAUUCGUAGAUAUUCGCAAGAACGCCAGUGGCGAAGGCGGCUUACUGGCUCGAAACUGACGCUGAGGCGCGAAAGCGUGGGGAGCAAACAGGAUUAGAUACCCGUGUAGUCCCUGUCUCUUAUAC
RNAcentral lists this ribosomal RNA (301 nucleotides) under uncultured bacterium. RNAcentral describes it as "partial 16S ribosomal RNA". It matches the Rfam family "Bacterial small subunit ribosomal RNA", at positions 509 to 807 of the family's 1533-position model. The record is from RNAcentral.